This 460-nucleotide ribosomal RNA is filed under the name uncultured bacterium. RNAcentral's name for it is "partial 16S ribosomal RNA". It matches the Rfam family "Bacterial small subunit ribosomal RNA", at positions 338 to 795 of the family's 1533-position model. The record is from RNAcentral.
CCUACGGGUGGCUGCAGUGAGGAAUAUUGGUCAAUGGACGAGAGCCUGAACCAGCCAAGUCGCGUGAAGGAUGACUGCCCUAUGGGUUGUAAACUUCUUUUAUAUGGGAAUAAAACGUUCCACGUGUGGGUUUUUGUAUGUACCCUAUGAAUAAGGAUCGGCUAACUCCGUGCCAGCAGCCGCGGUAAUACGGAGGAUCCGAGCGUUAUCCGGAUUUAUUGGGUUUAAAGGGAGCGUAGGCGGAUAGUUAAGUCAGUUGUGAAAGUUUGCGGCUCAACCGUAAAAUUGCCGUUGAAACUGGUAGUCUUGAGUACAGUAGAGGUAUGCGGAAUGCGUGGUGUAGCGGUGAAAUGCAUAGAUAUCACGAAGAACUCCGAUUGCGAAGGCAGUUCACUGGACUGCAACUGACACUGAGGCUCGAAAGUGUGGGUAUCAAACAGGAUUAGAUACCCUUGUAGUC